GCCAGACAUGGUGGUGCAUGCCUGUAAUCCCAGCUACUUGGGAGGCUGAGGCAGGAGAAUCGCUUGAACCCAGGAGGUGGAGGUUGCAGUGAGCCAAGAUGGUGCCACUGCACUCCAGCCUGGGCUACAGAGUGAGACUCUGUCUCAA
RNAcentral lists this non-coding RNA (148 nucleotides) under Pan paniscus (pygmy chimpanzee). Lineage: Eukaryota; Metazoa; Chordata; Mammalia; Primates; Hominidae. The record is from Rfam by way of RNAcentral. RNAcentral also lists the same sequence under 1 other name.